UUAUUUUAUGAAUAAAUAAAUAAUGCAACCAACAAAACCAAGAAUGACUAACAAUCCUAACACAACCCUAACCGGUUCCAAUAACCAAAACAUUAAAAUAAACCAAACGAGUUCCUAGAUCAUCCUCUCUUCCUUGCCAUGAUUCCACGAUCACACUUUAUCUUUACCUGCAUAA
RNAcentral lists this small RNA (175 nucleotides) under Arabidopsis thaliana (thale cress). Its description in RNAcentral is "ATSL161940". Lineage: Eukaryota; Viridiplantae; Streptophyta; Magnoliopsida; Brassicales; Brassicaceae. The record is from RNAcentral.